GGCUUAGAGUUUGAUCAUGGCUCAGGAUGAACGCUGGCGGCGUGCCUAACACAUGCAAGUCGAGCGAAGCACUCCACUUCGAUUUCUUCGGAUUGAAGAGUGGUUUGACUGAGCGGCGGACGGGUGAGUAACGCGUGGGUAACCUGCCUCAUACAGGGGGAUAACAGUUAGAAAUGACUGCUAAUACCGCAUAAGACCACAGCACCGCAUGGUGCAGGGGUAAAAACUCCGGUGGUAUGAGAUGGACCCGCGUCUGAUUAGCUAGUUGGUAAGGUAACGGCUUACCAAGGCGACGAUCAGUAGCCGACCUGAGAGGGUGACCGGCCACAUUGGGACUGAGACACGGCCCAAACUCCUACGGGAGGCAGCAGUGGGGAAUAUUGCACAAUGGGGGAAACCCUGAUGCAGCGACGCCGCGUGAGCGAAGAAGUAUUUCGGUAUGUAAAGCUCUAUCAGCAGGGAAGAAAGUGACGGUACCUGACUAAGAAGCACCGGCUAAAUACGUGCCAGCAGCCGCGGUAGUACGUAUGGUGCAAGCGUUAUCCGGAUUUACUGGGUGUAAAGGGAGCGUAGACGGAUAGGCAAGUCUGGAGUGAAAACCCGGGGCUCAACCCCGGGACUGCUUUGGAAACUGUUUAUCUAGAGUGCUGGAGAGGUAAGUG
Molecule: ribosomal RNA, 662 nt
Filed under: uncultured organism
Description: bacterial SSU rRNA
Rfam family: Bacterial small subunit ribosomal RNA
Source: RNAcentral